AGACAGGUGCUGCAUGGCUGUCGUCAGCUCGUGUCGUGAGAUGUUGGGUUAAGUCCCGCAACGAGCGCAACCCUUGCCUUUAGUUGCCAGCAGUUCGGCUGGGCGACUCUAAAGGGACUGCCGGUGUUAAACCGGAGGAAGGUGGGGAUGACGUCAAGUCCUCAUGGCCUUUAUGACCGGGGCUACACACGUACUACAAUGGCCGAUACAAAGGGCAGCGACACUGCGAGGUGAAGCCAAUCCCGUAAAAUCGGUCUCAGUCCGGAUUGGAGUCUGCAACUCGACUCCAUGAAGUUGGAAUCGCUAGUAAUCGUGGAUCAGCAUGCCACGGUGAAUACGUUCCCGGGCCUU
Molecule: ribosomal RNA, 351 nt
Filed under: uncultured Desulfobulbus sp.
Lineage: Bacteria; Pseudomonadati; Thermodesulfobacteriota; Desulfobulbia; Desulfobulbales; Desulfobulbaceae
Description: bacterial SSU rRNA
Rfam family: Bacterial small subunit ribosomal RNA
Source: RNAcentral